AGCGAACGCUGGCGGCAGGCCUAACACAUGCAAGUCGAGCGGGCACCGCAAGGUGUCAGCGGCAGACGGGAGAGUAACACGUGGGAACGUGCCCUUUGGUUCGGAACAACUCCGGGAAACUGGAGCUAAUACCGGAUAAGCCCUUACGGGGAAAGAUUUAUCGCCAAAGGAGCGGCCCGCGUCGGAUUAGCUAGUUGGUGAGGUAAUGGCUCACCAAGGCGACGAUCCGUAGCUGGUCAAGAGGAUGAUCAGCCUCACUGGGACUGAGACACGGCCCAGACUCCUACGGGAGGCAGCAGUGGGGAAUAUUGGACAAUGGGCGCAAGCCUGAUCCAGCCAUGCCGCGUGGAUGAUGAAGGCCUUAGGGUUGUAAAGUCCUUUUAACGGGAAGAUAAUGACGGUACCCGUAGAAUAAGCCCCGGCUAACUUCGUGCCAGCCGCCGCCGUAAU
RNAcentral lists this ribosomal RNA (450 nucleotides) under uncultured bacterium. Its description in RNAcentral is "bacterial SSU rRNA". It matches the Rfam family "Bacterial small subunit ribosomal RNA", at positions 29 to 524 of the family's 1533-position model. The record is from RNAcentral.